Molecule: non-coding RNA, 24 nt
Filed under: Arabidopsis thaliana (thale cress)
Lineage: Eukaryota; Viridiplantae; Streptophyta; Magnoliopsida; Brassicales; Brassicaceae
Source: RNAcentral
UUGCCCAAACUUGCCCAUUCGUGC